ACACACAGUCGCUCACCCGCGCCGGGCGCCCGCCCGCCGGCCGCUCGGGCUACGCGCAGCGCGCGGGCUGAGCCGACAUAGAGGAAGCCGGCGAGGGCGGAGGCGGCGGCGGCGGCGGAGGAGGAGGAGGUCGCGGCUGCAGGCGCCGCUGGAGCUGCCGCCGGAGCUGCUGCGGCGAGCGCCGCUGGAGGAGCCGGGACCCGGGCCGGAGUCCGAGCAGGAGUCGGGGCCGCAGCCGGAGCGCGAGCGGAGGCCGGGGCCGCCCGCGGCGCCGCCGCUGUCCCGGCGGGAGCCCUCGCCGGGCUCGGGAGUGCGGGGAGCGCGCAGGUAGAUGAAACUCAAGAGAAAAGGUGUGGAUAAAUGAAACUAGCCCAUGAUGAACCUGUUUUCUCCGUGACCACAAUAUUAACCAGGAUGAAUGGCGGUGGCAGUGGGCCUGCAUCACAGGUUGCAGCAGAUGUUCUCAAUAUUUCUAUUAAAAUUUCCUUAUUUCCAUAUGCAAGAGGAGCCCCAGAGCUGCAUCCUUAUGGUAGCUACCAUGCCGUGAUGUAAGCUGCCAUUCACUGGGGAGCUUUGGCAAUAGAAUUGGCUAGAUCAGGAAGCCUAUGUCAACUAUGGAACAACAACUUGCAGCUCAUCUCUAUUGAUGGUGAAACAGUCGCAAAUGGAAUUCCAAGAAACAUUCUAUAUACACUGCCUCUAGGACUGGGACAGAUAGCCACUGAGUACCUGCUUCAAAUCACCCUGCACGUUUUCUCUUUGGAAAGAUAAGCACUGGAGAACCAUCUCGUUACCUUCAGCAGAAAUGGAAACAAAUCAAGACAUUAAGAAUGCCGCAGUGGACAGCAGUUAUGCAAGGUUCAGCAGAGGAAGUUUUCAAGAUGGUGUGCCUCACUAGCCAGAAAUCAGAAAAGAUCGAAGCUAGCCUUUUCAUCUCAGCUGCUCCUUAAAUCAGUGCAACCCCUCCAAAUUAAUGUGAAUUGAAACUUGCAUUGCUUUUCAACUUAAUUGAAUACUUACUAUAUGUGAACCACUGCACAAAAUAGGGGAAGAAGAUGUGGGAGACAAAGAUGUGGAGCCUGUCUUCAAUAAAUUUACAGUUAGUUUCAGGGUACAUUGUUUUUCUUCUGCUGUUAAUUAGGUGUAUCCCCAAGACAAUAAAUACAUGAAUGGAAAAGUAUAUUCUGUGUUUUAAGUCUCUUUAAUAAAAAACAAAACAAAAUCCAAAAAAACUCCUAACAUGGCAACUCAGGACAUUUUAAUCCUUUUUUUUGUUGUUGGGCUUCUGAUAGGAUCCAUUUUAUUGAUUCCAUAAAUAUUUAGUAGACUUUAGACAUAUUAAUACAUUGUAGUUUGAGUUAAUUUGCAUUAAAUUCUGUUUUUUUCCCCUUAGGUAUAGAUUGUCUGUUGGAAAAAUAUAUUGCUUGUGGAUUUCUUGGGGAGUGGGAAGGUGAAUUAUACCUGUUGUCUCUACAGUCCACUACCUUCCACACCCUAGGGCAGUGGUCCCCAACCUUCUUGGCACCAGGGAUCAGUUUCCUGGAAGACAAUUUUUCUGUGGAUGGUGUGGGGAUGGUUUUGGGAUGGAACUGUUCCACCUCAGAUCAUCAGGCAUUAGUUAGGCUCUCAUAACGAGUGCGCAGCCUAGAUCCCUCACAUGCACAGUUCACAGUAGGGUUUGCGCUGCUAUGAGAAUCUAAGGCUGCCACUGAUCUGACAGGAGGCAGAACUCAGGUGGCAAUGCUUACUGGCCCACUGCUCACCUCUUGCUGUGCGGCCUGGUUCCUAAUAGGCCAUGGACCCCCACAGACGGGUACUAGUCUGCAGCCUGUGGACCCCAGCCCUAGGGGCCUGCCAUUCUGAGUGAGUUAUUAGCAUGAAGAAGAGGAAGAUCUGGAUCAAACGUGGGUGAUGGUACUCAGAGACCCAAGAUAGGAUAGGGAUGGAACAAAAUCCAUCUGGGCAACGGCUCUAUGAAAAUUUGGCUAAGUAAUUAUUUCAGUAUUCAUUGUAUUCAUUGUCCUUCGUGUUCCAUAAGUUAAAUGACUGUCUAAUUUUUCCAAAAAUUUAUUUCUGACUUGAGAAUAAGUGUGUCAUGAUUUUCCCAGUGUAAAGACACUGAUAUAACUGUAGAUACCAGACAUUUUAUGUAGUGUCUAUGACACAUUUUAGUAUGUAUGAGCCAACAAUAGACAUGUCUUUGUCUUGAGGAGUGUCCAUCUGAAUUGAAAAUGUGUCAGCUUUUUUUUAACAUCAUCAACAGACUUCUUAAUUAAGCUGCCAAUACAUACUGCCAAUAGCACUGUGUGCUGUCUGAGAAAUGCAUUGUGUAAGUGCUAUUUCCAUCUUAUUAAAUAAACAAUGUUGCUCUGUAUAAACUGGAUUUAAAGUGUUCUUUGAAUGAGGCAUUAUAUUGCUCCAUAAAUAAUGUGAUGUGAAUUCUCAUAUGAUCCCUUUUAACUUAAUUUCUAAAAAAAUAUUAUUUGCUCCUCAGUAAGGAAUAGCUCUAAUUGGACUGGUAACUUUAGUGAUAUGAUUUGUCUGUAACAGGCUGAAUCGCCCCACUCCCAAACUCCUGGUCGUGAUACUGGAUAUUUGUUAUGCCACUUUUAGUUUGCAUGAGGUAUCUUCCAGGAAGUAUUAGUUAUUAACUUGUGUUCUACUAAACUGUAGAUAUUUAUUUCCUGUUCUGGAAGAUUUCUUGGAGUGUCCAUCUGUGCAUUCCUGGUGCCUAGUGUAGUCUUGCUAAUGGAAUAGCACCUUUAUUGGUGCUACUUAGGGGUUGGUAGCUUACAAUCAAUCUACUUGGAACGUAUCCAAAUAAACUGGAUAUUUUUAUACAGUC
This 2845-nucleotide long non-coding RNA is filed under the name Homo sapiens (human). RNAcentral's name for it is "non-protein coding NR2F1-AS1:51". The record is from RNAcentral. Lineage: Eukaryota; Metazoa; Chordata; Mammalia; Primates; Hominidae.